RNAcentral lists this ribosomal RNA (446 nucleotides) under uncultured bacterium. Its description in RNAcentral is "SSU rRNA". It matches the Rfam family "Bacterial small subunit ribosomal RNA", at positions 26 to 518 of the family's 1533-position model. The record is from RNAcentral.
AGAGCGAACGCUGGCGGCAUGCUUAACACAUGCAAGUCGCACGGUCAGCAAUGGCAGUGGCGGACGGGUGAGUAACGCGUAGGUAUCUAUCCACGGGUGGGGGACAACGUCGGGAAACUGACGCUAAUACCGCAUGAUACCCGAGGGUCAAAGGCGCAAGUCGCCUGUGGAGGAGCCUGCGUACGAUUAGCUUGUUGGUGGGGUAAAGGCCUACCAAGGCGACGAUCGUUAGCUGGUCUGAGAGGAUGAUCAGCCACAUUGGGACUGAGACACGGCCCAAACUCCUACGGGAGGCAGCAGUGGGGAAUAUUGGACAAUGGGCGCAAGCCUGAUCCAGCAAUGCCGCGUGUGUGAAGAAGGUCUUCGGAUUGUAAAGCACUUUCGGCGGGGACGAUGAUGACGGUACCCGCAGAAGAAGCCCCGGCUAACUUCGUGCCAGCAGCCGC